RNAcentral lists this unclassified non-coding RNA (662 nucleotides) under Hevea brasiliensis (rubber tree). Lineage: Eukaryota; Viridiplantae; Streptophyta; Magnoliopsida; Malpighiales; Euphorbiaceae. The record is from RNAcentral.
GGAAAUAUUUCUUGACAUUGCAUGCUUCUUCAAAUUGUGGGAUAAAAAUAGAGCUAUAAGUAUAUUAGAAGGUUGUGGGUUCUAUGCAAAAUGUGGAAUAAGUGGGCUCAUUGAUAAAUCUCUCAUAAGCAUUUCAGGAAAUAAUACAUUGCAGAUGCAUGACUUGGUACAACAAAUGGGUAAAGAUAUUGUUGGUGAGGAGAAAGAGAUUGGAAAACGAAGUAGAUUGUAUAAUUCUAAGGAUUUAUACAAAUUAUUGAACAAAGAUAUGAGGACUAAAAGAGUUGAAAGCAUUUUAGCAAACAUGUCCCAGAUUGGAUAUAUCGAACUGAGUUCUACAGCUUUCGUGAAAAUGAGUAAUCUUAGAUUACUCAAAUUAUACUCUAAUGGUCAGAUCAAACUAGUUCUUCCUGAAGGUCUUGAAUCUCUCCCCGAAGAGCUGAGAUAUUUGGAAUGGGAAAAUUAUCCUUUGAAAUGUUUACCAUCAAAAUUUUGUCCAGAGAAUCUUGUUGAACUUCACAUGCCCAGAAGUCAACUUGAACAACUUUGGAAUGAAGAUCAGGUUGCUGAAAAUUUGAAGGUUAUUGAAUUGGCGAACUCUGAGGAUCUGAUCAGAAUUCCACACCUGUCUAAAUCCCCAAAACUAGAGGUUUUAAUUUUCG